AUUGAACGCUGGCGGCAGGCCUAACACAUGCCAGUCGAGCGGAUGAAGGGAGCUUGCUCCUGGAUUCAGCGGCGGACGGGUGAGUAAUGCCUAGGAAUCUGCCUGGUAGUGGGGGAUAACGUCCGGAAACGGGCGCUAAUACCGAAUACGUCCUGAGGGAGAAAGUGGGGGAUCUUCGGACCUCACGCUAUCAGAUGAGCCUAGGUCGGAUUAGCUAGUUGGUGGGGUAAAGGCCUACCAAGGCGACGAUCCGUAACUGGUCUGAGAGGAUGAUCAGUCACACUGGAACUGAGACACGGUCCAGACUCCUACGGGAGGCAGCAGUGGGGAAUAUUGAACAAUGGGCGAAAGCCUGAUCCAGCCAUGCCGCGUGUGUGAAGAAGGUCUUCGGAUUGUAAAGCACUUUAAGUUGGGAGGAAGGGCAGUAAGUUAAUACCUUGCUGUUUUGACGUUACCAACAGAAUAAGCACCGGCUAACUUCGUG
This 484-nucleotide ribosomal RNA is filed under the name uncultured bacterium. Its description in RNAcentral is "partial 16S ribosomal RNA". It matches the Rfam family "Bacterial small subunit ribosomal RNA", at positions 30 to 507 of the family's 1533-position model. The record is from RNAcentral.